Molecule: transfer RNA, 62 nt
Filed under: Ditylum brightwellii
Lineage: Eukaryota; Bacillariophyta; Thalassiosirophyceae; Lithodesmiales; Lithodesmiaceae
Source: RNAcentral
GUGUGUAUUACGACAUAAUAGACAAACAGAUAAUGGCAUAGUGGUAUAUUUUCUAUUUCAAC